Molecule: unclassified non-coding RNA, 152 nt
Filed under: uncultured fungus
Lineage: Eukaryota; Fungi
Description: sequence contains ITS1
Source: RNAcentral
UUGAUUCCAGGUAAUUCAGACACAGACGGGUCGGCUGCAUAAACGCGGCGCCGCUGGGGCGCCGAAGCACGGCUAGCUUCCACGGUUUUGGGGUUUGAAGGGCCCGGACGGGCCUCUCGCUAAUGAUCCCUCCGCAGGUUCACCUACGGAAA